Molecule: non-coding RNA, 966 nt
Filed under: Scotophilus borbonicus (Reunion house bat)
Lineage: Eukaryota; Metazoa; Chordata; Mammalia; Chiroptera; Vespertilionidae
Description: 12S ribosomal RNA
Rfam family: Bacterial small subunit ribosomal RNA
Source: RNAcentral
CAUAGGUUUGGUCCUGGCCUUUCUAUUAAUUGUUAGUAAAUAUACACAUGCAAGAAUCCUCAUUCCAGUGAAAAUGCCCUCUAAAUCAACCCAUGAUUAAAAGGAGCUGGUAUCAAGCACACUACCCAGUAGCUCUCUACACCUUGCUUAGCCACACCCCCACGGGAAACAGCAGUGAUAAAUAUUAAGCAAUAAGCGAAAACUUGACUAAGUCAUGCUAACUAAGGCCUGGUAAACUUCGUGCCAGCCACCGCGGUCAUACGAUCGGGCCAAAUUAAUAGACAUACGGCGUAAAGAGUGUUAAAAAACAAAUAAACAAUAAAGCUAAACCUUAACUAAACUGUAAAAAGUCCUAGUUAUUGUAAAAUAUAUGACGAAAGUAGCUUUAAAAAUUCUGAUCACACUAUAGCUAGAACCCAAACUGGGAUUAGAUACCCCACUAUGCCUAGCCCUAAACAUAAGUUAUUAGCAACAAAAUUACCCGCCAGAGAACUACUAGCAACAGCUAGAAACUCAAAGGACUUGGCGGUGCUCCACAUCCUUCUAGAGGAGCCUGUUCUAUAAUCGAUAAACCCCGCUACACCCGACCAAUUCUUGCCAAACCAGCCUAUAUACCGCCAUCUUCAGCAAACCCUAAAAAGGAUGUGUAGUAAGCACAAACAUUAACAUAAAAAAGUUAGGUCAAGGUGUAGCCUAUGAAUUGGAAAGAAAUGGGCUACAUUUUCCCACUAAGGAAAAUCUACGAAAGUUUCUGUGAAAACCAUAAACUAAAGGUGGAUUUAGUAGUAAACUAAGAAUAGAGUGCUUAGUUGAAUUUUGGCCAUGAAGCACGCACACACCGCCCGUCACCCUCCUCAAGUAAAAAUAAUUAACUAAUCAAAUAAUUAACUAAUUAUAAAUAUUAAUACUACAAGAGGAGAUAAGUCGUAACAAGGUAAGUGUACUGGAAAGUGCACUUGGAAAAUA